CGUGUGUGCAUGGACAUGGAUUCUUGUUCAAAGAAAGGUUCAACAAAACCAAACAAGAACUGGUUUUCUUCUCUGACUGAGCUCACAAUUUUAGUGUGAUGACAGACAAAGAGUCCUCAGCGUGCCUCCGUGAAUCCUGUGCUAGAAUGGCCUGUCCUCUGGAACUGCGAGCCCAGGCAAGCCUUUCUUUCCUUAAGCAGCUUUCGUCAAAGAUUAAUGCUCACAUCCACAAGGAAAACAGCUAUUACAGAGGCUCUCUGUAGGAUCAGGUGGGAGGCACGUAUGUGUGUGCCACACUGCCUGUGCAGGUCAGAGGACAACCUCAAGCGUCCCCUUGUUUGGGACAGUCUCUUUUUUCCUGUUUGGCACCAAGCCUGCAGGGAUUCUUCUGCCGCUGCUGUUAUUGUACUACCAGAGGAAGGGGAUUCCAGAUGUGGCUACGGUGCACCCAGCUUUCUGUGAGUUCUGGGAGUUUGAACGCCGGUUCUCACGUGUGCCUGGCAAAUGCUGCACCCACCGAGCCGUCUUCCGAGUCCCAAAGCUGUUACCCACGAGAUCCUGUUCAGCGAACACUCAUUAAACAGUGACUAUGGGAACUGUAGCCAAAAGGGAAGGAAAUACUGAAAUACUGAAAAAGCAUCAUGACAUGUGCUCAGCUUAUA
Meriones unguiculatus (Mongolian gerbil) is the source of this 662-nucleotide long non-coding RNA. RefSeq lists it as uncharacterized. The record is from RefSeq and is a predicted model, not a curated record. The transcript is spliced from 4 exons. Lineage: Eukaryota; Metazoa; Chordata; Mammalia; Rodentia; Muridae.